CUACGGGAUGCACCAGUGGGGAAUAUUGCACAAUGGGCGAAAGCCUGAUGCAGCAACGCCGCGUGAGUGAUGAAGGUUUUCGGAUCGUAAAACUCUGUUCUAAGGGAAGAUAAUGACGGUACCUUAGGAGAAAGCCCCGGCUAACUACGUGCCAGCAGCCGCGGUAAUACGUAGGGGGCAAGCGUUAGCCGGAAUUACUGGGCGUAAAGGAUGCGUAGGUGGCCUGACAAGUCAGGGGUAAAAGGCAACGGCUCAACCGUUGUAAGCCCUUGAAACUGUCGGGCUUGAGUUCAGGAGAGGAAAGCGGAAUUCCAAGUGUAGCGGUGAAAUGCGUAGAUAUUUGGAGGAACACCAGUGGCGAAGGCGGCUUUCUGGACUGAUACUGACACUGAGGCACGAAAGCGUGGGGAGCAAACAGGAUUAGAUACCCCAGUAGUC
This 438-nucleotide ribosomal RNA is filed under the name uncultured bacterium. Its description in RNAcentral is "partial 16S ribosomal RNA". It matches the Rfam family "Bacterial small subunit ribosomal RNA", at positions 339 to 795 of the family's 1533-position model. The record is from RNAcentral.